This 406-nucleotide ribosomal RNA is filed under the name uncultured bacterium. Its description in RNAcentral is "partial 16S ribosomal RNA". It matches the Rfam family "Bacterial small subunit ribosomal RNA", at positions 30 to 526 of the family's 1533-position model. The record is from RNAcentral.
AUUGAACGCUGGCGGCAGGCCUAACACAUGCAAGUCGAACGAGUGGCGGACGGGUGAGUAAUGUCUGGGAAACUGCCCGAUGGAUGGGGAUAACUACUGGAAACGGUAGCUAAUACCGCAUACCAUCGGAUGUGCCCAUAUGGGAUUAGCUAGUAGGUGGGGUAAAGGCUCACCUAGGCGACGAUCCCUAGCUGGUCUGAGAGGAUGACCAGUCACACUGGAACUGAGACACGGUCCAGACUCCUACGGGAGGCAGCAGUGGGGAAUAUUGGACAAUGGGCGAAAGCCUGAUACAGCCAUGCCGCGUGUGUGAAGAAGGCCUUCGGGUUGUAAAGUACUUUAAGUGGGGAGGCGUUACCCGCAGAAGAAGCACCGGCUAACUCCGUGCCAGCAGCCGCGGUAAUUC